UGCAAUGCGUCUGAGCUCCUUA
RNAcentral lists this microRNA (22 nucleotides) under Ornithorhynchus anatinus (platypus). RNAcentral describes it as "Oan-Mir-1421-P13a_3p* (star (passenger))". Lineage: Eukaryota; Metazoa; Chordata; Mammalia; Monotremata; Ornithorhynchidae. The record is from RNAcentral.